Molecule: ribosomal RNA, 468 nt
Filed under: uncultured bacterium
Lineage: Bacteria
Description: partial 16S ribosomal RNA
Rfam family: Bacterial small subunit ribosomal RNA
Source: RNAcentral
GAUGAACGCUGGCGGCGUGCUUAACACAUGCAAGUCGAACGGAAAGGCCCUGCUUUUGUUUGUUGCUCGUGUGGCGAACGCGUGAGUAACACGUGAGUAACCUGCCCUUGUCUUUGGGGUAACUUCAGGAAACUCGGGCUAAUACCGGAUAGGAUCUCCUGCUGCAUGUUGGUGGUUGGAAAGUUUCGGCGGUUCGGGAUGGACUCGCUGCUUAUCAGCUUGUUGGUGUGGUAGUGGCUUACCAGGGCUUUGACGGGUAGCCGGCCUGAGAGGGUGACCGGCCACAUUGGGACUGAGAUACGGCCCAGACUCGUACGGGAGGCAGCAGUGGGGAGUAUUGCACAACGGGCGGAAGCCUGAUGCAGCAACGCCGCGUGCGGGAUGACGGCUUUCGGGUGGUAAACCGCUUUGGCCGGUGACGAAGCGUGAGUGACGGUAAUGGGUAAAGAAGCAACGGCUAACUACGUG